This 301-nucleotide ribosomal RNA is filed under the name uncultured bacterium. Its description in RNAcentral is "partial 16S ribosomal RNA". It matches the Rfam family "Bacterial small subunit ribosomal RNA", at positions 509 to 807 of the family's 1533-position model. The record is from RNAcentral.
CAGCAGCCACGGUAAUACGUAGGGUGCGAGCGUUAAUCGGAAUUACUGGGCGUAAAGCGUGCGCAGGCGGUGAUGUAAGACAGUUGUGAAAUCCCCGGGCUCAACCUGGGAACUGCAUCUGUGACUGCAUUGCUGGAGUGCGGCAGAGGGGGAUGGAAUUCCGCGUGUAGCAGUGAAAUGCGUAGAUAUGCGGAGGAACACCGAUGGCGAAGGCAAUCCCCUGGGCCUGCACUGACGCUCAUGCACGAAAGCGUGGGGAGCAAACAGGAUUAGAUACCCGCGUAGUCCCUGUCUCUUAUAC